GCGAGGGUGGCGGAACUGGUAUACGUGCUGGAUUUAGGAUCCAGUGGGGCAACCCGUGGGAGUUCGAGUCUCCCCCCUCGCA
RNAcentral lists this transfer RNA (82 nucleotides) under Gemmatimonadota bacterium. Its description in RNAcentral is "Gemmatimonadetes bacterium tRNA-Leu". It matches the Rfam family "tRNA". Rfam says of the family: Transfer RNA (tRNA) molecules are approximately 80 nucleotides in length. Their secondary structure includes four short double-helical elements and three loops (D, anti-codon, and T loops). Further hydrogen bonds mediate the characteristic L-shaped molecular structure. tRNAs have two regions of fundamental functional importance: the anti-codon, which is responsible for specific mRNA codon recognition, and the 3' end, to which the tRNAs corresponding amino acid is attached (by aminoacyl-tRNA synthetases). tRNAs cope with the degeneracy of the genetic code in two manners: having more than one tRNA (with a specific anti-codon) for a particular amino acid; and 'wobble' base-pairing, i.e. permitting non-standard base-pairing at the 3rd anti-codon position. The record is from RNAcentral. Lineage: Bacteria; Pseudomonadati; Gemmatimonadota.